AGAGAGAGACAUGCGCGCAUAUCAAUAAGCGGAGGAAAAGAAACUAACAAGGAUUCCCUUAGUAACGGCGAGUGAAGCGGGAAGAGCUCAAAUUUGAAAUCUUCAAGGUUUUACCUUGACGAAUUGUAGUUUAAAGAAGUGUUUUCUGCUGAAGUUUUGGUAAAAGUUCUUUGGAAUAGGACAUCAUAGAGGGUGAGAAUCCCGUAUUUGACCAUUAUUUUCAGCUUUGUGAUACACUUUCAAAGAGUCGGAUUGUUUGGGAAUGCAGUCCAAAAUGGGUGGUAAAUUUCAUCUAAAGCUAAAUAUUGGCGAGAGACCGAUAGCGAACAAGUACCGUGAGGGAAAGAUGAAAAGAACUUUGAAAAGAGAGUUAAACAGUACGUGAAAUUGUCAAAAGGGAAGCGUUUGACACCAGUGUUGUUUUCUCGAAAAUCAAUUAAAAAUGGCUCGAUUUUGUAUUGCUUGAGACCUUAAAAGCUCACUGUACAUUUUUCGUGUCUUUUUUAAUGCACUUUUCGUUUAACAAGUCAACAUCAGUUUCUUUUGUUGUAAAAGGGUCAUUGGAAGGUGGCUUUCUUUUCGGAGAAAGUGUUUAUAGCCUUUGGCCUCUGCAAUCGGAAGAGACUGAGGUCUGCAGCGUAGACUCUUCGGGGUUAGAUACAUUUGUGCUAAGUUAUAGCUUUUUAUAGACAACUUGUUGACUAUAAUUAGUCUUGUAGCUUACUCGCUUAUGCUAUUUUACCUACGCUUAGGAUGUUAAGUCAUCGUAUCGCGC
This 775-nucleotide ribosomal RNA is filed under the name uncultured Neocallimastigales. Its description in RNAcentral is "partial large subunit ribosomal RNA". It matches the Rfam family "Eukaryotic large subunit ribosomal RNA", at positions 23 to 645 of the family's 3401-position model. Lineage: Eukaryota; Fungi; Neocallimastigomycota; Neocallimastigomycetes; Neocallimastigales. The record is from RNAcentral.